GUAAAGUUUACACAAUAUACGUUAUAUUUUAUAUACGUACAUAAUGUGGUAAAUAUACACAAUAUAAAUACAAUUAAAUAACGUAUCCAAAUUACAAUAUACGUACAUAAGGUGAUAAAUAUACGACUGUAUGAUAAAAUUUCGAGUGGGCUUAGAUAGUAAUUGUGUUUAUCACUGUUUAUAUAGUAAUAUAUAGAGCUUUUAUUUUUAAGGUUCAAGUAUUAUAUUAUUUUACGAAUUUGAGUAAUUUGGUUGACCGAAGAGAUUUUCACUCUUUUUCUGUUUUCUUUUUUUUUUUCUUUUUUUUUUAUGACAAGGUUUUGGCACUAGGAAAUUUGUUGCACCAAGAGUAAUA
This 355-nucleotide long non-coding RNA is filed under the name Citrus maxima (pomelo). Its description in RNAcentral is "long non-coding RNA (CMAX_LNC004448)". The record is from RNAcentral. Lineage: Eukaryota; Viridiplantae; Streptophyta; Magnoliopsida; Sapindales; Rutaceae.